AUUGAACGCUGGCGGCAGGCCUAACACAUGCAAGUCGAGCGGAUGAAGGGAGCUUGCUCCUGGAUUCAGCGGCGGACGGGUGAGUAAUGCCUAGGAAUCUGCCUGGUAGUGUGGGAUAACGUCCGGAAACGGGCGCUAAUACCGCAUACGUCCUGAGGGAGAAAGUGGGGGAUCUUCGGACCUCACGCUAUCAGAUGAGCCUAUGUCGGAUUAGCUAGUUGGUGGGGUAAAGGCCUACCAAGGCGACGAUCCGUUACUGGUCUGAGAGGAUGAUCAGUCAAACUGGAACUGAGAAACGGUCCAGACUCCUACGGGAGGCCGCAGACGGGAAUAUUGGACACUGGGCGAAAGCCUGAUCCAGCCAUGCCGCGUGUGGGAAGAAGGUCUUCGGAUUGUAAAGCACUUUAAGUUGGGAGGGAGGGCAGUAAGUUAAUACCUUGCUGUUUCGACGUUACCCACAAAAUAAGCACCCGCUAACUUCGUG
This 484-nucleotide ribosomal RNA is filed under the name uncultured bacterium. RNAcentral's name for it is "partial 16S ribosomal RNA". It matches the Rfam family "Bacterial small subunit ribosomal RNA", at positions 30 to 507 of the family's 1533-position model. The record is from RNAcentral.